RNAcentral lists this ribosomal RNA (253 nucleotides) under uncultured bacterium. Its description in RNAcentral is "partial 16S ribosomal RNA". It matches the Rfam family "Bacterial small subunit ribosomal RNA", at positions 524 to 776 of the family's 1533-position model. The record is from RNAcentral. RNAcentral also lists the same sequence under 1 other name.
UACGGAGGGUGCAAGCGUUAAUCGGAAUUACUGGGCGUAAAGCGCACGUAGGCGGACGACUAAGUCGGAUGUGAAAUCCCUGGGCUUAACCUGGGAACUGCAUCCGAUACUGGUCGCCUAGAGUAUGGAAGAGGGAAGCGGAAUUCCAGGUGUAGCGGUGAAAUGCGUAGAUAUCUGGAGGAACAUCAGUGGCGAAGGCGGCUUCCUGGUCCAAUACUGACGCUGAGGUGCGAAAGCGUGGGGAGCAAACAGG